GAUGAACGCUGGCGGCGUGCCUAAUACAUGCAAGUCGAGCGAACAGACGAGGAGCUUGCUCCUCUGACGUUAGCGGCGGACGGGUGAGUAACACGUGGAUAACCUACCUAUAAGACUGGGAUAACUUCGGGAAACCGGAGCUAAUACCGGAUAAUAUAUUGAACCGCAUGGUUCAAUAGUGAAAGACGGUUUUGCUGUCACUUAUAGAUGGAUCCGCGCCGCAUUAGCUAGUUGGUAAGGUAACGGCUUACCAAGGCAACGAUGCGUAGCCGACCUGAGAGGGUGAUCGGCCACACUGGAACGGAGACACGGUGCAGACUCCUACGGGAGGCAGCAGUAGGGAAUCUUCCGCAAUGGGCGAAAGCCUGACGUAGCAACGCCGCGUGAGUCAUGAAGGUCUUCGGAUCGUAAAACUCUGUUAUUUGGGAAGAACAAAUGUGUAAGUAACUAUGCACGUCUUGACGGUACCUGAUCAGAAAGCCACGGCUAACUACGUG
RNAcentral lists this ribosomal RNA (497 nucleotides) under uncultured bacterium. RNAcentral describes it as "partial 16S ribosomal RNA". It matches the Rfam family "Bacterial small subunit ribosomal RNA", at positions 28 to 507 of the family's 1533-position model. The record is from RNAcentral.